UCUCUCCCUCUCUGUUAGGCUGAGGGCGGCGCCGCCUCCGGCGCGCCGCUUCGCCGUCGCCUCCUCCCCUCCCUUCUCACUCCCUCGGUCUCACUCUCUAUCUCUGAUCUCUCUCGCCGGAACUGCUGUACGCCUCCGCCUCCGCCAUGGCAGAACACGGCUCUCGCCGGUUGCCAUCGUUUCUUGGCCGUUCUCGGCC
This 199-nucleotide long non-coding RNA is filed under the name Salvia miltiorrhiza (redroot sage). RNAcentral describes it as "long non-coding RNA (SMIL_LNC013324)". The record is from RNAcentral. Lineage: Eukaryota; Viridiplantae; Streptophyta; Magnoliopsida; Lamiales; Lamiaceae.